RNAcentral lists this transfer-messenger RNA (324 nucleotides) under Gammaproteobacteria bacterium. Its description in RNAcentral is "partial transfer-messenger RNA". It matches the Rfam family "transfer-messenger RNA", at positions 41 to 374 of the family's 374-position model. Rfam says of the family: Bacterial tmRNA, also known as 10Sa RNA or SsrA, is named for its dual tRNA and mRNA-like properties. Its role is to liberate the mRNA from a stalled ribosome. The record is from RNAcentral. Lineage: Bacteria; Pseudomonadati; Pseudomonadota; Gammaproteobacteria.
AGGUGCAUGCCGAGCUGCAGACAACUCGUAAAACUGAUUGCAAACUUUUAGUUGCCAACGACGACAACUACGCACUAGCAGCUUAAACACCUGUUUAGUGCCUUCCGCCCGGUUUCGUGCCCAUACGACCGGAUCACGGGAGUCACCCUAUAUGGGAUCGCGAUGAAGCACGCCUGGUGUGGAUUCGUUAAAACUUAUCCAGGCUCGUUGCUGGCUUUCCCUGCCUGUCGGGUAGCCCUCAACUAAACUAAUAGACCGGAUAAGCAUGUAGAGCCGAAGGCGGAGUGCUUGCGGACGCGGGUUCGAUUCCCGCCGCCUCCACCA